This 83-nucleotide small nucleolar RNA is filed under the name Brassica napus (rape). RNAcentral describes it as "snoRNA snoR114". It matches the Rfam family "small nucleolar RNA snoR114". Lineage: Eukaryota; Viridiplantae; Streptophyta; Magnoliopsida; Brassicales; Brassicaceae. The record is from Rfam by way of RNAcentral.
GAGCUGUGAAGAAAAUGGUUUAGCGAUGGUUGGGUCCAUCGCAUUCAUCUGAUUUCCAGAUGGUAUAGCCACACCCUGAGCUC